CCCCUAGAUGUUCUGGGCCGCACGCGCGCUACACUGAACAGUUCAACAAGUCUUAACCUUGGCCGAUAGGUCUGGGUAAUCUUUGAACGCUGUUCGUGAUUGGGAUAGACCUUUGCAAUUAUGGGUCUUCAACGAGGAAUUUCUAGUAAACGCAAGUCAUCAGCUUGCAUUGAUUACGUCCCUGCCCUUUGUACACACCGCCCGUCGCACCUACCGAUUGAAUGGUCCGGUGAAAUCUCGGGACGGCGGCUUGGUCGCUUGCGUCCGACUGCUGAAACUUGAUUAAACCAUAUCAUUUAGAGGAAGGUGAAGUCGUAACA
RNAcentral lists this ribosomal RNA (320 nucleotides) under uncultured eukaryote. Its description in RNAcentral is "partial 18S ribosomal RNA". It matches the Rfam family "Eukaryotic small subunit ribosomal RNA", at positions 1470 to 1796 of the family's 1831-position model. The record is from RNAcentral.